CCAAAGGUUAGUUUAAUUUUAAAAUAAUAAUUUUGGGGAUUAUUGAUGGGUUGAUAACCACUCUUUGAA
Molecule: transfer RNA, 69 nt
Filed under: Ramulus hainanensis
Lineage: Eukaryota; Metazoa; Arthropoda; Insecta; Phasmatodea; Phasmatidae
Description: Ramulus hainanense tRNA-Pro
Source: RNAcentral